UCGUGUUGUGAAAUGUUGGGUUAAGUCCCGCAACGAGUGCAACCCUUAUCCUUUGUUGCCAGCACGUUAUGGUGGGAACUCAAAGGAGACUGCCGGUGAUAAACCGGAGGAAGGUGGGGAUGACGUCAAGUCAUCAUGGCCCUUAUGAGUAGGGCUACACACGUGCUACAAUGGCGUAUACAAAGAGAAGCGACCUCGCGAGAGCAAGCGGAACUCAUAAAGUACGUCGUAGUCCGGAUUGGAGUCUGCAACUCGACUCCAUGAAGUCGGAAUCGCUAGUAAUCGUAGAUCAGAAUGCUACGGUGAAUACGUUCCCGGGCCUUGUACACACCGCCCGUCACACCAUGGGAGUGGGUUGCAAAAGAAGUAGGUAGCUUAACCUUCGGGAGGGCGCUUACCACUUUGUGAUUCAUGACUGGGGUGAAGUCGUAACAAGGUAACCA
Molecule: ribosomal RNA, 443 nt
Filed under: uncultured Providencia sp.
Lineage: Bacteria; Pseudomonadati; Pseudomonadota; Gammaproteobacteria; Enterobacterales; Morganellaceae
Description: bacterial SSU rRNA
Rfam family: Bacterial small subunit ribosomal RNA
Source: RNAcentral